UGCGCAGGCGGACUUUUAAGUCAGUGGUGAAAUCCCGAGGCUCAACCUCGGAAUUGCCAUUGAUACUGGAAGUCUUGAAUUUGGUUGAAGUGGGCGGAAUGUAGCAUGUAGCGGUGAAAUGCUUAGAUAUGCUACAGAACACCGAUCGCGAAGGCAGCUCACUAAGCCAAUAUUGACGCUCAGGCACGAAAGCGUGGGGAGCAAACAGGAUUAGAUACCCUGGUAGUCC
RNAcentral lists this ribosomal RNA (229 nucleotides) under uncultured bacterium. RNAcentral's name for it is "partial 16S ribosomal RNA". It matches the Rfam family "Bacterial small subunit ribosomal RNA", at positions 568 to 796 of the family's 1533-position model. The record is from RNAcentral.